RNAcentral lists this ribosomal RNA (460 nucleotides) under uncultured bacterium. Its description in RNAcentral is "partial 16S ribosomal RNA". It matches the Rfam family "Bacterial small subunit ribosomal RNA", at positions 338 to 795 of the family's 1533-position model. The record is from RNAcentral.
CCUACGGGAGGCUGCAGUGAGGAAUAUUGGUCAAUGGUCGGGAGACUGAACCAGCCAAGCCGCGUGAGGGAGGAAGGUACAGAGUAUCGUAAACCUCUUUUGUCAGGGAACAAAGGCGGGUACGUGUCUCCGGAUGAGUGUACCUGAAGAAAAAGCAUCGGCUAACUCCGUGCCAGCAGCCGCGGUAAUACGGAGGAUGCGAGCGUUAUCCGGAUUUAUUGGGUUUAAAGGGUGCGCAGGCGGAUUGUUAAGUUGGAGGUCAAAGCUCCGGGCUUAACGCUGGCACUGCCUUUAAUACUGUGGAUGUAGAGAGUAGGUGCGGUAGGGGGAAUGUAUGGUGUAGCGGGGAAAUGCGGAGAGAUGAGACAGAACACCGGUUGCGAAGGCAGCUUACCAAACUAUAUCUGACGUUGAGGCACGAAAGCGUGGGGAGCAAACAGGAGUAGAUACAUGAGUAGUC